UACGAAGGGGGCUAGCGUUGCUCGGAAUCACUGGGCGUAAAGCGCACGUAGGCGGAUUGCUAAGUCAGGGGUGAAAUCCUGGAGCUCAACUCCAGAACUGCCUUUGAUACUGGCGACCUUGAGUCCGGGAGAGGUGAGUGGAACUGCGAGUGUAGAGGUGAAAUUCGUAGAUAUUCGGAGGAACACCAGUGGCGAAGGCGGCUCACUGGUCCAUUACUGACGCUGAGGUGCAAAGGCGUGGGGAGCAAACAGG
This 253-nucleotide ribosomal RNA is filed under the name uncultured bacterium. Its description in RNAcentral is "partial 16S ribosomal RNA". It matches the Rfam family "Bacterial small subunit ribosomal RNA", at positions 524 to 776 of the family's 1533-position model. The record is from RNAcentral.